CCCUAUUUGCACAAAUAAAACUCCCACAUAAAAUCUCAAAAUUUUACAAACACAAAAUUUACUAUUAAAUGAAUACCAAUUAUUGUUCUUUCCUUUAAAAAAUAGCCCUUAUCAAUUUUAUUUUAAAAAGGUGUGUAAUAGGCCAAUUUUACCCGAGCCCAAGACCAUAUAAAAAAUAAAACCAAAACAAAUAAACAAAGUCCAAGUCCAUUACAAUUACAAAGCCCAAAAAAUUAAAAAAACCCUACUGGCCCAAGUGGCCUACAACUUAAACUCAAUUUCAGUAAAACUGAAACCCUAAUCUAGCCCCUCUCUGCACGCUUUUGCCACCGCCACCAUCAGCCCCUGUCACCACCUGCAAAGAAGAAGCAACACGCAAAGAACAGUAGAAAUAAUAGAAAAAACUUGUAAAAAUCGGCUAUAAAGGCCGAAUCUAAAUGUAUUUGAAAUGGGGGGGUUCUUUUAUUUUCAAAAAGAUUGAAUACAUAAAAGAAAAAAAGACUCGACUUUUAUAUAUUUUUCAAGGUGAUUUUCGUUUGAUUUCGUUUUUUCUUUCACGUUAAGAUUUAUUAUUUAUUUUAUCUACGAAUAUAAAAAAAAAGGGGGAGAGGAAAAGAAACUUACCUACGUCGGCCGAUCUACUCGCCGUCGACGGCUACGCCGAAAAAGGAGAAGAAACGAAAUGUUUCUUCGUUGCUCCGCCGGAUUGGGCCGGGUUUUGGGGGGUUUUGGCCUCGGAUCCUUGCUCCACGUGUGAAGGGCUUCGAAAGGGGUUUCUUUUUGUUUUCUCGGCCACCGCAGAUGGCGGCGCCGUCACUGGCGGCCGACACAACUGCCGAUGGCCAGAUCUUUGGCUAGAGCCCGGAGGGGAAAGAGAGGGUUGAGAGAAUUUUGGGAUUUUUUUUUGAGAAAGAAAAAAAAUUGAGUUUUUAGAAAAAAAAAUUGGGUUUAAAUAAGAAAGUAAAACGGCGCUGUUUUGGGUUAGGAACCCAGGCGCCAAAACGAAGCCGUUUAGGGCCUAUCCGCAUGCGACCCAACGCGCUCCAGGGGGAUCCGCGUGUUUUCUCCUUCUGGGUUAUUUACACCCCUGGUCCUUCCUCUUUUUAGCUAGUUUGCAAUUCAGUUCUUUUAUUUCUUUAAAUUUACCCUGUGAUUUUAUUGGCUUUUCAUUUUAAUCCCUAAGCAGACGAUGCCGUUCUGGGAAAUGGGAAUAAUUUCCCAAUGACCCCUCCUUCUUUAAGCGCAUUAAUUUUCAGUCCCAUUUCGAUUUUAUCAUUAAAUUUAUUAAGAAUUUUGCAUCUAAUUUCAUUUUGAUUUCAAUAUAGUCCUUUGAUUAAUUUAUUUUAUUAUUUGUCUAUUAAUUUGUCUAUUAUUCUUCAUUUUUCUUUAAGAUAAUAUUAUUUUUAUUUUUAUAUCCACUAUUUAUCUUUUUAUAUCUAAAUUUUAAUAUUUCUUUUACUAAUUUAUUUUUAUUUCAUUUACUUUUAUAAUCCUUAAAUUUAGUUUUAUGUAUAUGUGUUCUAUUUACUUAUUUAUUAUCUUAUUUUUAUAAUAUUAUUACUAUUACUAUUAUUAUUAUCAUUAUUAUUAUCAUUAUUUUUUAAAACUAUUUUACCUAAUAUUUAUUUAUUUGCUUACUCUCAUUUUUUUUAAAUUCAAUGUCUUUUAGUUUUUAUUUGUUUAUUUAUUAUUGCUUUUUAUUUAAUUAGCUUGUUUUAUUUUUUUAUUUAUCUUAUCUUUAUUUUUGCCAUUAUUAUCGUUAUUUAUAUUAUCGCAUUCAUUAUUAUUAUUUGGUUAUACAUAUUGGUAUCAGAUUAUUACUAUUAUAUCUUUUAUAUUUUAUUCAGCAUAUUAUACCAUUAUCGCUACGAAUUUAUGUCGCACUAUCAUUAUUCGCUCAGCAUGACAUUUUUAACCUUUUAACCGUUUUUAUACCAACCCGAAUGAAUUAAGUACACGACAUUUUAAAUGUUAUUAGUUUUCGCACAAUGCAUAAAAAAGAGAUUUUUUAAACCAAGAUUAAUUUUCAUUAUUUUGGAAUUAGAAAAAUCGUGUUCUAAGUUACGGAAUAUGAUUUCUUUCUAAAAUCAAGAUAAUCAAAUAUAUUUUAAAACAGCGUUUAUUCUCGUAUCGAGAAUUUAAAACAUUGUGUCUUAACUUACGGGACAUAAUUCUCUUUCUCAAUUAACGUGAAAUAUGCUCAUUUCUUGAAAAAUUAAGCGAUAUUUUAACAAAGGAUCGUAUUUUAAAUUCUCAAUUUUCGACACUAAGACAUUAAUUAAUCAACUAGGUACCAAUUUUGGGCGUUACGAGGGUGCUAAUCCUUCCUCGUACGUAAUCGACUCCCGAACCCGAUUUUCUGAAUUUCGCAGACCAAAAGCGCUGUUUUAAUAAAUCCAAACCGUUUAUUAAAAACAACCAUUUUUCGAGGUGAUCCGAUCCCGCCUCAUCAAAAAAGGAUUGGUGGCGACUCCCGUAUCCGUUUUUAUUUUCAAAAUUAAAGUCGACGACCCUUUUAUCAAAAAAAAUGGUUUUGACCAGGUGUAUAUACAAAAUUAUUCCCUGCAAUAAACUUUAAUUUUUUUCAUUUUCCUCCACACUAGUGAAUGAUGAGGUGGCACAAUGGUUUCUAAUGGCAAAUAGACGAGUGGCACAAAUACCAUUUGACACUAUCACGUCAUUAUUAAGUGAAAUAAUAGAAAAUUAUAAAUUAUAAACAAUUAAAAUUUCAUAAUAUUAAAAAUAAAAAUAGAAAAUUACUUUUCUAGUAAAUUUUUAUUCUCUAUAGUAUAAAUAAUUUUUAAAGUUUUCUAUGAUUUUUAUAUUAUAAAAACUCAUAUGGAAAUUUUAAAAAUUUUAAAAUAUUUCCAAAUAUUAUAUAUUUUAAUUCUUUUAGAUUUUUUUAUUUUUU
RNAcentral lists this long non-coding RNA (2911 nucleotides) under Gossypium barbadense (sea-island cotton). RNAcentral describes it as "long non-coding RNA (GBAR_LNC017632)". The record is from RNAcentral. Lineage: Eukaryota; Viridiplantae; Streptophyta; Magnoliopsida; Malvales; Malvaceae.